GAUGAACGCUGGCGGCGUGCCUAAUACAUGCAAGUCGAGCGAACGGACGAGAAGCUUGCUUCUCUGAUGUUAGCGGCGGACGGGUGAGUAACACGUGGAUAACCUACCUAUAAGACUGGGAUAACUUCGGGAAACCGGAGCUAAUACCGGAUAAUAUUUUGAACCGCAUGGUUCAAAAGUGAAAGACGGUCUUGCUGUCACUUAUAGAUGGAUCCGCGCUGCAUUAGCUAGUUGGUAAGGUAACGGCUUACCAAGGCAACGAUGCAUAGCCGACCUGAGAGGGUGAUCGGCCACACUGGAACUGAGACACGGUCCAGACUCCUACGGGAGGCAGCAGUAGGGAAUCUUCCGCAAUGGGCGAAAGCCUGACGGGGCAACGCCGCGUGAGUGAUGAAGGUCUUCGGAUCGUAAAACUCUGUUAUUAGGGAAGAACAUAUGUGUAAGUAACUGUGCACAUCUUGACGGUACCUAAUCAGAAAGCCACGGCUAACUACGUGCCAGCAGCCGCGGUAAUACGUAGGUGGCAAGCGUUAUCCGGAAUUAUUGGGCGUAAAGCGCGCGUAGGCGGUUUUUUAAGUCUGAUGUGAAAGCCCACGGCUCAACCGUGGAGGGUCAUUGGAAACUGGAAAACUUGAGUGCAGAAGAGGAAAGUGGAAUUCCAUGUGUAGCGGUGAAAUGCGCAGAGAUAUGGAGGAACACCAGUGGCGAAGGCGACUUUCUGGUCUGUAACUGACGCUGAUGUGCGAAAGCGUGGGGAUCAAACAGGAUUAGAUACCCUGGUAGUCCACGCCGUAAACGAUGAGUGCUAAGUGUUAGGGGGUUUCCGCCCCUUAGUGCUGCAGCUAACGCAUUAAGCACUCCGCCUGGGGAGUACGACCGCAAGGUUGAAACUCAAAGGAAUUGACGGGGACCCGCACAAGCGGUGGAGCAUGUGGUUUAAUUCGAAGCAACGCGAAGAACCUUACCAAAUCUUGACAUCCUUCGACAACUCUAGAGAUAGAGCUUUCCCCUUCGGGGGACAAAGUGACAGGUGGUGCAUGGUUGUCGUCAGCUCGUGUCGUGAGAUGUUGGGUUAAGUCCCGCAACGAGCGCAACCCUUAAGCUUAGUUGCCAUCAUUAAGUUGGGCACUCUAAGUUGACUGCCGGUGACAAACCGGAGGAAGGUGGGGAUGACGUCAAAUCAUCAUGCCCCUUAUGAUUUGGGCUACACACGUGCUACAAUGGACAAUACAAAGGGCAGCGAAACCGCGAGGUCAAGCAAAUCCCAUAAAGUUGUUCUCAGUUCGGAUUGUAGUCUGCAACUCGACUACAUGAAGCUGGAAUCGCUAGUAAUCGUAGAUCAGCAUGCUACGGUGAAUACGUUCCCGGGUCU
RNAcentral lists this ribosomal RNA (1372 nucleotides) under uncultured bacterium. RNAcentral describes it as "bacterial SSU rRNA". It matches the Rfam family "Bacterial small subunit ribosomal RNA", at positions 28 to 1381 of the family's 1533-position model. The record is from RNAcentral.